RNAcentral lists this ribosomal RNA (433 nucleotides) under uncultured bacterium. RNAcentral describes it as "partial 16S ribosomal RNA". It matches the Rfam family "Bacterial small subunit ribosomal RNA", at positions 29 to 507 of the family's 1533-position model. The record is from RNAcentral.
AACGAACGCUGGCGGCAUGCCUAACACAUGCAAGUCGAACGAGACCUUCGGGUCUAGUGGCGCACGGGUGCGUAACGCGUGGGAACCUGCCCUUAGGUUCGGAAUAACUCCCCGAAAGGGGUACUAAUACCGGAUAAUGUCUUCGGACCAAAGAUUUAUCGCCUUUGGAUGGGCCCGCGUUGGAUUAGCUAGUUGGUAGGGUAAAAGCCUACCAAGGCGACGAUCCAUAGCUGGUCUGAGAGGAUGAUCAGCCACACUGGGACUGAGACACGGCCCAGACUCCUACGGGAGGCAGCAGUGGGGAAUAUUGGACAAUGGGCGAAAGCCUGAUCCAGCAAUGCCGCGUGAGUGAUGAAGGCCUUAGGGUUGUAAAGCUCUUUUACCCGGGAUGAUAAUGACAUUACCGGGAGAAUAAGCUCCGGCUAACUCCGUG